Molecule: ribosomal RNA, 254 nt
Filed under: uncultured bacterium
Lineage: Bacteria
Description: partial 16S ribosomal RNA
Rfam family: Bacterial small subunit ribosomal RNA
Source: RNAcentral
UACGUAGGGUGCAAGCGUUGUCCGGAAUUAUUGGGCGUAAAGAGCUCGUAGGCGGUUUGUCGCGUCUGCCGUGAAAGUCCGGGGCUCAACUCCGGAUCUGCGGUGGGUACGGGCAGACUAGAGUGAUGUAGGGGAGACUGGAAUUCCUGGUGUAGCGGUGAAAUGCGCAGAUAUCAGGAGGAACACCGAUGGCGAAGGCAGGUCUCUGGGCAUUAACUGACGCUGAGGAGCGAAAGCAUGGGGGAGCGAACAGG